RNAcentral lists this long non-coding RNA (1631 nucleotides) under Brassica napus (rape). RNAcentral describes it as "long non-coding RNA (BNAP_LNC012884)". Lineage: Eukaryota; Viridiplantae; Streptophyta; Magnoliopsida; Brassicales; Brassicaceae. The record is from RNAcentral.
GGUUCCCGGCAAAGAGGUGAAAACAGCCUCAAAAUUGAAGAUUUUUAGUAAUUGUUGUUAUUUAAUGAAAGUGACACCGAGAUCAUGCGAUGGUAACAUGCUAUUCUAUUACCACAAAUUUAUAGUUUUUUUUUUUGUGGGAAUUCCAGAUCUUGGACCAAUUCUUCUUCUAUACGCAGAAUCAUCUCAAAAUGGCGGGAGUAAAUCCCGAGUUAAAAUUUCAACGUUUCCCAGGCUUCACGUUCAGCUUUAUUGCAUAGUUGUGCUUAUUAUUUUAUUUUUAUUUUAUUUUGAACUUAGUUAGAGCAUAAUUAACCCACAAACAUCAUUGGGUCUCUUAAUAAAUAUUUUACUAAUUAAAUGUAAUUAAGAACCUUGUUUAAGAAACACUUUGAUUCAUACCCUCCAAUGGUAGUUUCUUAUUUAGGGGUUCCUAAAAAAAUAUUGUUUUUUAUUGCUAAAAAAAAACAAGACCAAACCAUGCAAAUAAGCAUAGCAAUGAAUACCCACAAUGUGUUCAUCCAAGAUGUUAUAUAUGAGGCAAAAGAGAUACUGCAUCCAAGAUGUUCAAUUCCAUUGGUCCAUAUGAGUAAACAUUUGUUAUUUUAAUUCACUUUGCAGUUAAUAUAAACAAAGACGUUGUUUUAUACUAAAGAAGAAAAAUGCAAGAACACACUUUACCAUUUCAAACUAGGAUCACAAGACAUGGUUGGCUCCUGUCAAAUGAAUCUUGGUGUGCUGCAACUUCACUAAACGAAUUCCAAACCACCUAGGCUUUCAUUCAGCAAAGAACCUGAACAAACGGAAGUAAUACAAAGGGAAAGGUCAAAACACAGCAAAAAAAAAUCAUCACAGUUCACAUCUAUACAAGUCUCCGAUCAUCUUGCACUGAUUCCAUAGAUACAGAGACCAACCUAAUAAACCAUUCUCAGCUUAAAAAAAACAUUAGGCUACAAUGACACCAAUCUUUUGUCAGCCCAAACUACAAAGAUCAACACUUUUUUCAUGACCAGAUGAUCAUUAGAGCAAAACUCAAUCUCAGCAAUCAAUACAUUGCUUUUAAGAAACUAAAAAAAAAAACUUUGAAUAAAGACCAGAGAGGAAGACGUACAAGUGUUAGCUGAGAUGGAUCUUGUUGUUGAUGACAGUGCUGAACCAGCAACAGAGAAAGAAGCAAGGAGAAGCCAUAUCAACAUUCCUUUCCCUCUGUUCAGCCUCUCCAUAAGCUUUCUUCUAUGCUUAAUCCCGAAACCCCUAAUUUCAUUCCAGAAGAUGGCGAGUCAGUUAAAAACCCUAAUUUUUAGAAACAGAGAGAAGAGAAGCAAAGACCUGACGAAAUCUAUGGCUGGGGAAGUGAGAUUAAAAAUUGAGGAGAUGGGUUUUGUUUUGGGAGAUGUGAUUGACUCGAAAGAGUGAAGCUUUAUCCAAUUUCCUCCUCACGAGAUUCUUCAGAGAUUGAUCAAAGAUCGCGAGAUGGUUAAAGAAUCAACUAGAGCCAGAGAGUUGUCGUUUCUGUUUCGAGAGAGAAAGCAAAGAACCAAAGAAAGGUCUGAAACUCACUAAAUUUUGACACCUGUCUCCUAACAUACGUUUCUUCCUUCUCCUAACUAAGCGACGUAUCUUCUAUUUAC